RNAcentral lists this ribosomal RNA (427 nucleotides) under uncultured Acidobacterium sp. RNAcentral describes it as "bacterial SSU rRNA". It matches the Rfam family "Bacterial small subunit ribosomal RNA", at positions 958 to 1385 of the family's 1533-position model. The record is from RNAcentral. Lineage: Bacteria; Pseudomonadati; Acidobacteriota; Terriglobia; Terriglobales; Acidobacteriaceae.
AACGCGAAGAACCUUACCUGGGCUCGAAGCGCAGUGGACCGGGGUAGAAAUAUCCCUUUUCGCAAGAACUGCUGCGGAGGUGCUGCAUGGCUGUCGUCAGCUCGUGUCGUGAGAUGUUGGGUUAAGUCCCGCAACGAGCGCAACCCUUAUCGUUAGUUGCCAGCGAGUCAAGUCGGGCACUCUAGCGAAACCGCCCCGGAUAACGGGGAGGAAGGUGGGGAUGACGUCAAGUCCUCAUGGCCUUUAUGUCCAGGGCUACACACGUGCUACAAUGGCCGGUACAAACCGUCGCAAACCUGCGAAGGGGAGCUAAUCGGAAAAAGCCGGCCUCAGUUCGGAUUGGAGUCUGCAACCCGACUCCAUGAAGCUGGAAUCGCUAGUAAUCGCGGAUCAGCACGCCGCGGUGAAUACGUUCCCGGGCCUUGUA